Long non-coding RNA from Bactrocera dorsalis (oriental fruit fly), 724 nucleotides. RefSeq lists it as uncharacterized. NCBI's taxonomy places the organism in Eukaryota, Metazoa, Arthropoda, Insecta, Diptera, Tephritidae. The transcript is spliced from 2 exons. The record is from RefSeq and is a predicted model, not a curated record.
UGUAUGUAUGUAUGUAUGUGACUAAUCAUUAGGCGGAAAACUGAUAAAACACAAAGUGCGAGAUACAGGCGCGGCACGCUUAAUGAGGACGCACAGAAUAUGCGACAAUAGUUUAGGUUCCAUUACCGAAGGAGGCCGGAAUUACUGUAGCAGUGUAGUACCUUUAUUUAGGGUAGUCGAAGAUCGCGUAUAACUCUAAUAAUAUUAAAUUUUUUUUAAUUUCACUGUGUGUUCUUAAAAGAUGUAUAAAUAUAGCGAAGCCAUCCACAAGCGGACAUUGGCGGAAGCCAAUGUUCACUUAAUAUUCGUUAGUCGAAAAAGCCUUUUCGUAUUUCAUUCAUCAGUGUAAAUCGAAAUUUCCCGAACGGAAGCGAGCGACUCAUUGUUGUGCUAUACAAACUGAUACAGCCUCGUCCCCGUAAACUUUACGGAUUUCAUUGAUGUCUAGAGUGGCAUUAUUCUCUUUUUAUACAAAAAUUUCAAAAUAUAGCGAAUUUCUUCAUAUUUUCAUUAAUUUUUGAACAGCUGUAACUUUUUUAACUUCCCAGAAUUUAAUUUUUUUCUGGUUAAAUGAAGCCUGAAAUCUCACCUUUCCAAUAUUCUAUGGUAUGACACAAUGGUAUUGGUAGCACUGGAGAUGUACGACUGCAACAACAUCUAUUGACAAAAUACGAAAAUACUUUUUCGACUACCCAAUAUAAUUGCUUUAUGAUUACAGUGUUUU